This 95-nucleotide microRNA precursor is filed under the name Pelobates cultripes (western spadefoot toad). The record is from RNAcentral. Lineage: Eukaryota; Metazoa; Chordata; Amphibia; Anura; Pelobatidae.
CCAGCAGACCCUCCCUCCCAGACCCUCCUACUUCCUGGACAGCAUCCAUGUACAUAGGAAGUAGGAGGGUCUGGGAGGGAGGGUCUGCUGGAGAU